GGCGCCAUCGUCUAUCGGUUAGGACACUGCCCUUUCAAGGCGGAAAGACGGGUUCGAUCCCCGUUGGCGCUACCA
RNAcentral lists this transfer RNA (75 nucleotides) under Candidatus Altimarinota bacterium. RNAcentral describes it as "tRNA-Glu". It matches the Rfam family "tRNA". From Rfam's summary of the family: Transfer RNA (tRNA) molecules are approximately 80 nucleotides in length. Lineage: Bacteria; Candidatus Altimarinota. The record is from RNAcentral.